Molecule: ribosomal RNA, 2911 nt
Filed under: Enterococcus faecalis EnGen0300
Lineage: Bacteria; Bacillati; Bacillota; Bacilli; Lactobacillales; Enterococcaceae
Description: bacterial LSU rRNA
Rfam family: Bacterial large subunit ribosomal RNA
Source: RNAcentral
UUAAGUGAAUAAGGGCGCACGGUGGAUGCCUUGGCACUAGGAGCCGAUGAAGGACGGGACUAACACCGAUAUGCUUUGGGGAGCUGUAAGUAAGCUAUGAUCCAGAGAUUUCCGAAUGGGGGAACCCAAUAUCUUUUAUAGGAUAUUACUUUUCAGUGAAUACAUAGCUGAUUAGAGGUAGACGCAGAGAACUGAAACAUCUUAGUACCUGCAGGAAGAGAAAGAAAAUUCGAUUCCCUGAGUAGCGGCGAGCGAAACGGGAAGAGCCCAAACCAACAAGCUUGCUUGUUGGGGUUGUAGGACUCCAAUAUGGUAGUCUGUUAGUAUAGUUGAAGGAUUUGGAAAAUUCCGCUAAAGAGGGUGAAAGCCCCGUAGACGAAAUGCUGACAACACCUAGGAGGAUCCUGAGUACGGCGGAACACGAGAAAUUCCGUCGGAAUCCGCGGGGACCAUCCCGCAAGGCUAAAUACUCCCUAGUGACCGAUAGUGAACCAGUACCGUGAGGGAAAGGUGAAAAGCACCCCGGAAGGGGAGUGAAAUAGAUCCUGAAACCGUGUGCCUACAACAAGUCAAAGCUCGUUAAUGAGUGAUGGCGUGCCUUUUGUAGAAUGAACCGGCGAGUUACGAUUGCAUGCGAGGUUAAGUCGAAGAGACGGAGCCGCAGCGAAAGCGAGUCUGAAUAGGGCGAAUGAGUAUGUAGUCGUAGACCCGAAACCAUGUGAUCUACCCAUGUCCAGGUUGAAGGUGCGGUAAAACGCACUGGAGGACCGAACCCACGUACGUUGAAAAGUGCGGGGAUGAGGUGUGGGUAGCGGAGAAAUUCCAAACGAACUUGGAGAUAGCUGGUUCUCUCCGAAAUAGCUUUAGGGCUAGCCUCGGAAUUGAGAAUGAUGGAGGUAGAGCACUGUUUGGACUAGGGGCCCAUCUCGGGUUACCGAAUUCAGAUAAACUCCGAAUGCCAUUCAUUUAUAUCCGGGAGUCAGACUGCGAGUGAUAAGAUCCGUAGUCGAAAGGGAAACAGCCCAGACCACCAGCUAAGGUCCCAAAAUAUAUGUUAAGUGGAAAAGGAUGUGGGGUUGCACAGACAACUAGGAUGUUGGCUUAGAAGCAGCCACCAAUUAAAGAGUGCGUAAUAGCUCACUAGUCGAGUGACCCUGCGCCGAAAAUGUACCGGGGCUAAACAUAUUACCGAAGCUGUGGACUACACCAUUAGGUGUAGUGGUAGGAGAGCGUUCUAAGGGCGUUGAAGGUCGAUCGUGAGGACGGCUGGAGCGCUUAGAAGUGAGAAUGCCGGUAUGAGUAGCGAAAGACAGGUGAGAAUCCUGUCCACCGUAUGACUAAGGUUUCCUGGGGAAGGCUCGUCCGCCCAGGGUUAGUCGGGACCUAAGCCGAGGCCGAUAGGCGUAGGCGAUGGACAACAGGUUGAUAUUCCUGUACCAGUUGUUUUUGUUUGAGCAAUGGAGGGACGCAGUAGGCUAAGGAAUGCAUGCGAUUGGAAGUGCAUGUCCAAGCAAUGAGUCUUGAGUAGAGUUAAAUGCUUUACUCUCUAAGGACAAGUUGUGACGGGGAGCGAAAUAAUAGUAGCGAAGUUCCUGAUGUCACACUGCCAAGAAAAGCUUCUAGUGAGAAAACAACUGCCCGUACCGUAAACCGACACAGGUAGUCGAGGAGAGUAUCCUAAGGUGAGCGAGCGAACUCUCGUUAAGGAACUCGGCAAAAUGACCCCGUAACUUCGGGAGAAGGGGUGCUGACUUCGGUCAGCCGCAGUGAAUAGGCCCAAGCGACUGUUUAUCAAAAACACAGGUCUCUGCAAAAUCGUAAGAUGAAGUAUAGGGGCUGACGCCUGCCCGGUGCUGGAAGGUUAAGAGGAUGGGUUAGCUUCGGCGAAGCUCAGAAUUGAAGCCCCAGUAAACGGCGGCCGUAACUAUAACGGUCCUAAGGUAGCGAAAUUCCUUGUCGGGUAAGUUCCGACCCGCACGAAAGGCGUAACGAUUUGGGCACUGUCUCAACGAGAGACUCGGUGAAAUUUUAGUACCUGUGAAGAUGCAGGUUACCCGCGACAGGACGGAAAGACCCCAUGGAGCUUUACUGUAGUUUGAUAUUGAGUGUUUGUACCACAUGUACAGGAUAGGUAGGAGCCGAUGAGACCGGAACGCUAGUUUCGGAGGAGGCGCUGGUGGGAUACUACCCUUGUGUUAUGAACCCUCUAACCCGCACCACUAAUCGUGGUGGGAGACAGUGUCAGAUGGGCAGUUUGACUGGGGCGGUCGCCUCCUAAAAGGUAACGGAGGCGCCCAAAGGUUCCCUCAGAAUGGUUGGAAAUCAUUCGAAGAGUGUAAAGGCAGAAGGGAGCUUGACUGCGAGACCUACAAGUCGAGCAGGGACGAAAGUCGGGCUUAGUGAUCCGGUGGUUCCGCAUGGAAGGGCCAUCGCUCAACGGAUAAAAGCUACCCUGGGGAUAACAGGCUUAUCUCCCCCAAGAGUCCACAUCGACGGGGAGGUUUGGCACCUCGAUGUCGGCUCGUCGCAUCCUGGGGCUGUAGUCGGUCCCAAGGGUUGGGCUGUUCGCCCAUUAAAGCGGCACGCGAGCUGGGUUCAGAACGUCGUGAGACAGUUCGGUCCCUAUCCGUCGCGGGCGUUGGAAAUUUGAGAGGAGCUGUCCUUAGUACGAGAGGACCGGGAUGGACUUACCGCUGGUGUACCAGUUGUUCUGCCAAGGGCAUUGCUGGGUAGCUAUGUAGGGAAGGGAUAAACGCUGAAAGCAUCUAAGUGUGAAGCCCACCUCAAGAUGAGAUUUCCCAUUUCUUUAAGAAAGUAAGACCCCUGAGAGAUGAUCAGGUAGAUAGGUUGGAAGUGGAAGGCUAGUGAUAGUUGGAGCGGACCAAUACUAAUCGGUCGAGGACUUAACCAA